This is a long non-coding RNA of Austrofundulus limnaeus, 235 nucleotides long. RefSeq lists it as uncharacterized. The transcript is spliced from 3 exons. The record is from RefSeq and is a predicted model, not a curated record. NCBI's taxonomy places the organism in Eukaryota, Metazoa, Chordata, Actinopteri, Cyprinodontiformes, Rivulidae.
UAUUCAUGAGGUUUUUUUUUUCUUCUUUUGAUUUCUUUUCUUCCCUUUGAUUGCUGCUUUUCAGCGUCGACUGCUUGUGGAAUGGAUCGGUGCAGGACAGAGAAAUUAACUGGGCAUUGAUCUUCUGGGUGGACAGGAAGGCUCCAGUCUGGGCCAUUCAAGUAAUUGUGGCCAUUAUCAGCUUCCUGGAGACAAUGUUACUCAUGUAUCUGAGCUACAAGGUGAGAAUAAGUUA